Molecule: ribosomal RNA, 207 nt
Filed under: uncultured bacterium
Lineage: Bacteria
Description: partial 16S ribosomal RNA
Rfam family: Bacterial small subunit ribosomal RNA
Source: RNAcentral
UGCGUAGGCGGCUUGGUAAGUCAGAUGUGAAAUCCUGGGGCUCAACCUCGGAACUGCAUUUGAUACUGCCAGGCUAGAGUACUGGAGAGGAGACUGGAAUUUACGGUGUAGCAGUGAAAUGCGUAGAUAUCGUGAGGAAGGCCAGUGGCGAAGGCGAGUCUCUGGACAGUAACUGACGCUGAGGCACGAAGGCCAGGGGAGCAAACG